AUUGAACGCUGGCGGCGUGCCUAAUACAUGCAAGUCGAACGAAGUGGCGCGCGGGUGAGUAAUAUAUAGUUAAUCUGCCCUACACAGAGGAACAACAGUUGGGAACGACUGCUAAUACCUCAUAGUGUAGGAUGAGACUAUAUCGUAUCAGCUAGUUGGUAAGGUGAUGGCUUACCAAGGAUAUGACGCGUAACUGGUGUACUAUGAUGAUCAGUCACAUUGGAACUGAGGCAGCGUCCGAACAUCUUGGGGAAGCAGCAGUAAGGAAUAUUACGCAAGCGGGGUGACCCUGAAAGAGCAACGGGGUGUAGAGGAUGACACUUAUCGGAGAGGACAUUUAUUUUAACAGGAAAGCGGUACCUGAUGAAUAAGCACCGGCUAACUCCGUGCCAGCAGCCGCGGUAAUUC
RNAcentral lists this ribosomal RNA (408 nucleotides) under uncultured bacterium. Its description in RNAcentral is "partial 16S ribosomal RNA". It matches the Rfam family "Bacterial small subunit ribosomal RNA", at positions 30 to 526 of the family's 1533-position model. The record is from RNAcentral.